GCGCCGGACCCGCGCAAUUUGAAACCGUGAACUAUGUCAGGCGGGGAACCGAGCAGCAUUAAGCGGCGGACAAUGUGCCGCGGGGAACCCGGCGACG
Molecule: signal recognition particle RNA, 97 nt
Filed under: Oscillospiraceae bacterium
Lineage: Bacteria; Bacillati; Bacillota; Clostridia; Eubacteriales; Oscillospiraceae
Description: signal recognition particle sRNA small type
Rfam family: Bacterial small signal recognition particle RNA
About the family: The signal recognition particle (SRP) is a universally conserved ribonucleoprotein involved in the co-translational targeting of proteins to membranes. Archaeal SRP consists of a 7S RNA and homologues of the eukaryotic SRP19 and SRP54 proteins.
Source: RNAcentral